RNAcentral lists this non-coding RNA (127 nucleotides) under Nitrospirota bacterium. Its description in RNAcentral is "Nitrospirae bacterium MoCo sequence". It matches the Rfam family "Molybdenum/Tungsten riboswitch aptamer (Moco RNA motif)". The record is from RNAcentral. Lineage: Bacteria; Pseudomonadati; Nitrospirota.
GCACACGAUCCACUCCGAGCCGAAGCGCCUACGUCGCGACCCCGUCGCGAUAGGGCACCAGGCCGACAGGGUGGGGCUGGAAACGGCCUCGCCUCCCAAGUUGGAAAGGAGUGUCCGAUGGCCGUGG